Molecule: long non-coding RNA, 380 nt
Filed under: Lathyrus oleraceus (garden pea)
Lineage: Eukaryota; Viridiplantae; Streptophyta; Magnoliopsida; Fabales; Fabaceae
Description: Pisum sativum (pea) long non-coding RNA (PSAT_LNC036683)
Source: RNAcentral
UUGUUGUAUAGGAUUUCAUGGGAUUAGGGUUCAUGUCAUAUUUCAUUUUUGAACCGAGGUUGAAGAUGAUGUGUGGAAUAUUUUGAUUGGUUGGCGUUUAUUUUUAUCUUUUGUGACUUAUUAUUUAUGACCAGUUGACACCGGGUCACAUGAUUAUUUGGUUUAUUUAAAAAUGUCACGCCCUUGUUUAUUCUGAUUAAAUGAAGUGGACCAUGGGCCUUGGAUUUUCUCUUUUUCUACCCCCCUGCUUUUGGCUCAUGCGUGUGUUUCACCUUAUUUCAGUUCAUUUCCCAUUUUACUCAUACGCCUCCCUUUCCAUUUUCUUUUAUUAUUUGAUAAUUGUUUCUUUUGUUUUUAUUUAAAAUACUUCUUUUUUAUCC